RNAcentral lists this ribosomal RNA (465 nucleotides) under uncultured bacterium. Its description in RNAcentral is "partial 16S ribosomal RNA". It matches the Rfam family "Bacterial small subunit ribosomal RNA", at positions 28 to 507 of the family's 1533-position model. The record is from RNAcentral.
GACGAACGCUGGCGGCGUGCUUAACACAUGCAAGUCGAACGGAAAGGCCCCUUUGGGGGUACUCGAGUGGCGAACGGGUGAGUAACACGUGAGUAACCUGCCCUUGACUUCGGGAUAACUUCAGGAAACUGGGGCUAAUACCGGAUAGGAAUCCUUGCUGCAUGGUGGGGGUUGGAAAGCUUCGGCGGUUUUGGAUGGACUCGCGGCUUAUCAGCUUGUUGGUGGGGUAGUGGCUUACCAAGGCUUUGACGGGUAGCCGGCCUGAGAGGGCGACCGGCCACAUUGGGACUGAGAUACGGCCCAGACUCCUACGGGAGGCAGCAGUGGGGAAUAUUGCACAAUGGGCGUAAGCCUGAUGCAGCAACGCCGCGUGCGGGAUGACGGCCUUCGGGUUGUAAACCGCGUUCAGCAGGGGCGAAGCUUGUGGUGACGGUACCUGCAGAAGAAGCACCGGCUAACUACGUG